CAGUAUCAGAGGUACUUAGCCCCCUACCUCUUGGGCCAUAUGUUGAGAGGCAUGUUAUCUCAGGCCUCCUGCCUGGAUUUGUUUGCAAGCUUCCAAUUCUGCCUCCAAUAGGGGAUUCCUCUUAAGAACUCCCACUCAGAAGCUACCUCAUAGAUAUCAUAAUGUCAAAACGCAGAGAAGAAGAUGUCUUCCCUGCCCUCUGCAAUUCUAGGCUCUCCCUCGAAUGCUAAUUUACUGAGUGAGAUACAGGAACUGUCAUACUGUUUUCCGCAGAGGCUGCAGCAUUUUCUGUUCCUACCAGCGAUGUACGCACGUUCCAAUUAUUUUCUGUGUUUUUGUUUAAAAAUACAUAAUAAUCACUCCCAUUGGGUGUGAAGUUGUA
RNAcentral lists this long non-coding RNA (382 nucleotides) under Homo sapiens (human). RNAcentral describes it as "HSALNT0348485". The record is from RNAcentral. Lineage: Eukaryota; Metazoa; Chordata; Mammalia; Primates; Hominidae.